This 879-nucleotide ribosomal RNA is filed under the name uncultured bacterium. RNAcentral's name for it is "bacterial SSU rRNA". It matches the Rfam family "Bacterial small subunit ribosomal RNA", at positions 9 to 873 of the family's 1533-position model. The record is from RNAcentral.
AGAGUUUGAUCAUGGCUCAGGAUGAACGCUAGCGGCAGGCCUAAUACAUGCAAGUCGAACGAUAGAUAGAAGCUUGCUUUUAUCGAAAGUGGCGCACGGGUGCGUAACGCGUAUGCAACCUACCUUUAUCAGGGGGAUAGCCUCUCGAAAGAGAGAUUAACACCGCAUAAAAUCACAAGCUGGCAUCAGCAAAUGAUCAAAUAUUUAUAGGAUAAAGAUGGGCAUGCGUGACAUUAGUUUGUUGGUGAGGUAACGGCUCACCAAGACUACGAUGUCUAGGGGAUCUGAGAGGAUGACCCCCCACACUGGUACUGAGACACGGACCAGACUCCUACGGGAGGCAGCAGUAAGGAAUAUUGGUCAAUGGGGGCAACCCUGAACCAGCCAUGCCGCGUGCAGGAAGACGGCCCUCUGGGUUGUAAACUGCUUUUAUCCGGGAAUAAACCCUUUUACGUGUAAGAGGCUGAAUGUACCGGAAGAAUAAGGAUCGGCUAACUCCGUGCCAGCAGCCGCGGUAAUACGGAGGAUCCAAGCGUUAUCCGGAUUUAUUGGGUUUAAAGGGUGCGUAGGCGGCUCGUUAAGUCAGGGGUGAAAGACGGUGGCUCAACCAUCGCAGUGCCUUUGAUACUGACGGGCUUGAAUACACUUGAGGUAGGCGGAAUGUGACAAGUAGCGGUGAAAUGCAUAGAUAUGUCACAGAACACCGAUUGCGAAGGCAGCUUACCAAGGUGCAAUUGACGCUGAGGCACGAAAGCGUGGGGAUCAAACAGGAUUAGAUACCCUGGUAGUCCACGCCCUAAACGAUGAAUACUCGAUGUUAGCGAUAUACUGUUAGCGUCUAAGGCGAAAGGCGUUAAGUAUNCCACCUGGANGNCCGAC